GACGUAGGAUGCAAGCGUUGUCCGGAUUUAUUGGGCGUAAAGAGUUCGUAGGCGGUUUGUUAAGUUUGGUGUUAAAGAUCGGGGCUCAACCCCGGGAGUGCACUGAAUACUGGCAGACUGGAGUGUGGUAGAGGCUAGUGGAAUUCCCAGUGUAGCGGUGAAAUGCGUAGAUAUUGGGAAGAACACCGGUGGCGUAGGCGACUAGCUGGGCCAUAACUGACGCUGAGGAACGAAAGCCAGGGGAGCGAAUGGG
This 253-nucleotide ribosomal RNA is filed under the name uncultured bacterium. Its description in RNAcentral is "partial 16S ribosomal RNA". It matches the Rfam family "Bacterial small subunit ribosomal RNA", at positions 524 to 776 of the family's 1533-position model. The record is from RNAcentral.